CGGGGCAGGGCCUGGGUUGCAGU
RNAcentral lists this unclassified non-coding RNA (23 nucleotides) under Mus musculus (house mouse). RNAcentral's name for it is "oocyte_clustered_small_RNA2772". Lineage: Eukaryota; Metazoa; Chordata; Mammalia; Rodentia; Muridae. The record is from RNAcentral.